CCUCCUUUAGAGUUUGAUCCUGGCUCAGAUUGAACGCUGGCGGCAGGCCUAACACAUGCAAGUCGAGCGGAAACGAGUUAACUGAACCUUCGGGGGACGUUAACGGCGUCGAGCGGCGGACGGGUGAGUAAUGCCUAGGAAAUUGCCCUGAUGUGGGGGAUAACCAUUGGAAACGAUGGCUAAUACCGCAUGAUGCCUACGGGCCAAAGAGGGGGACCUUCGGGCCUCUCGCGUCAGGAUAUGCCUAGGUGGGAUUAGCUAGUUGGUGAGGUAAGGGCUCACCAAGGCGACGAUCCCUAGCUGGUCUGAGAGGAUGAUCAGCCACACUGGAACUGAGACACGGUCCAGACUCCUACGGGAGGCAGCAGUGGGGAAUAUUGCACAAUGGGCGCAAGCCUGAUGCAGCCAUGCCGCGUGUGUGAAGAAGGCCUUCGGGUUGUAAAGCACUUUCAGUCGUGAGGAAGGU
This 466-nucleotide ribosomal RNA is filed under the name Vibrio natriegens. Its description in RNAcentral is "bacterial SSU rRNA". It matches the Rfam family "Bacterial small subunit ribosomal RNA", at positions 1 to 452 of the family's 1533-position model. The record is from RNAcentral. Lineage: Bacteria; Pseudomonadati; Pseudomonadota; Gammaproteobacteria; Vibrionales; Vibrionaceae.